Schistocerca nitens (vagrant locust) is the source of this 655-nucleotide long non-coding RNA. RefSeq lists it as uncharacterized. The record is from RefSeq and is a predicted model, not a curated record. The transcript has 3 exons. Lineage: Eukaryota; Metazoa; Arthropoda; Insecta; Orthoptera; Acrididae.
GUUUGUUCUUUACAGCAGGGUCAGCUGGUUGUAUGGCCUCUAGUGAUGGGCUAAACUGCGAUUUUCCGAUAUCAGUGAUUUUUGUGACUGCUACAUUUCAGUUUCUGUUAAUCUUAACUGUGAUUUGUCGCAGUUAAGAAUCGCAGUUAAGGAACCUAGGUCGUGUGUCCUCCGCCACUGCUAUUUCUGCGAUUUCUGCUACUUCCGCGAUUACUGCGACUUUAGUGAUUUCUACUACUUCUGCGAUUUCUGUGACUCCUACGAUUUCUGCGACUUACCACCGUAUGAAAAAGUUACAUCUGUCCAUACAGAAAAUUGCAUCUCAACAAACCUGUCAUUGGUACGCGAACUACAUUUUAGUCGCUCAGUAAAGUGAUAACUCAAAAUAUCAUUGUCAACAGAUCUGGAGAAAUUGCCACUGCAUCUUUAGAGCGUUUUCUUCAGAUGAGAGACACAGUUCUGACUCUGAUUACUGUUUGCUGUACGUAUCUAUCCACAUCAAGGCUGUUGAGAGAGGCUCAUGAAGAUUCAAGACAGCUCUUAGAAGAUUUUGCAGUUUAAAAUUGACAUAAUUGUGAAAUAAGUGUGCAGAUGAGUGAUUAAACUGUGUUUUAUUGAAGUUGUUGUGCGAUUUUAAAGGAAUAAUAAAUGUUAA